Long non-coding RNA from Homo sapiens (human), 2055 nucleotides. Ensembl annotates it as GUSB pseudogene 11. Its record names the gene GUSBP11. The record is from Ensembl. Lineage: Eukaryota; Metazoa; Chordata; Mammalia; Primates; Hominidae.
AAUGCUCCUCCCGCGCAGCUCUUAUCCCCGUAGACUGCGGCCGAGACGGGGAGGGGGAAGCCUCGCCUGGGGGGCGGCAGUGGCCUGGGCGGCUCUCCGGCUGCUGUUGUAUGGCUGCACGUUGGCGCUACCGGACGGGAUGCUGUAUCCCCGAGAGAGCCCGUCGUGGCAGCGCAAGCAGCUGGACGGCCUCUGAAGCUUCCGCGCCGACUUCUCCGACAACCGACGCCGGGGCUUCGAGGAGCAGAGGUACCGGCGACCGCUGUCGGAGGCGCGGACUCGGGGCAGGGCCAGGAGUCGCCCGGAAGCCCGGCGGUGGGAAUGGGUCAGGCCCCACCGUGGACAUGCCGGUUCCCUCCAGCUUCAACGACAUCGGCCAGGGCUGGCGGCUGCGGCAUUUUGUCAGCUGGUUGUGGUAUGAACGGGAGGUGACCCUGCUGGAGCGAUGGAUCCAGGACCUGUGCACAAGAGUGGUGCUGAGGAUUGGCAGUGCCCACUUCUAUGCCAUCGUGGUAUCCCAAGGGUUACUUUGUCCAGAACACAGACUUUGACUUCUUCAGCUACGCAGGACUGCUGUGGUCUCUGCUUCUAUACACGACACCCCCCACCUACAUCGAUGACGUCACCGUCACCACCGGCGUGAAGCGAGACAGUGGUGAGGGCUUCUGGACUGGAUGGAGGACCUGAAGACGUGAGGUGGAGGCACAGGUAGAAGAGAAGAUUCUCACCAUCGCUGAUUCACACAAAAGCAUUUCUCCAAGUGGUUGCAGAUGACAUGAUUUCCCAAAGUGUUAGAGCUGAAGUGUGUUUCCUUGUGUAUAUAUACUGUGGUUCCUUUAUCCCUUCAUCUGUGGAUAGACAGGUGCAACCGUGUGGUUCCCCACGAUAUGAUUUCAUUGUGGUUUUCUGUCUGAAGAGUAUCCCAGUAUGUACCUGUGGAGCAGCUUCUUUAUCCCUUCAUCUGUGGAUAAGCAGUGCAGGCCAAGGCCCCCUGCCCAUGGAGGUGUGCUGCAGACAGCAGCAGCAGCAGCAGCAGCAGCAGCAGCAGCAGCAGAGGCCUGGCUUCCUGAGGAAUUGCUGGCCGGUUUGAGGAAGGAAGGAAGUCCCACCUACCAUGAUCACCCUCCAGCCUGGAGGAAGCUCCAUGCCAGCAGCAUGGACCAGCAUGGGAGCCAGAGCCCUGCUAAUGCUGCAGCUCAUCACCCCUGCUCAGCAGCCCAGCAGCCCAGCAGCCAUUGCCACAUCCCAUUUCCAGGGCCUCCUGCCCCCAUGCCCCCACGUGCCCAUGGACCGACACACCACUCUUCCUGUUGGCCCAAGGACCUGCUGAAGCUCACACCCGUGGACCACCCAGACUGCCUGCCGCUACAGGAUGCCCUCCGCAUCUCCCAGGACUUCUUUCCGGCAUCAGUGUGGACAUUGACCCCACUGGACUGCAGUCACAGUGGACUCCCAAGGGGCAGGAUCCACCUCUGAUGUUCAGUGAAGACUACCAGAAAAGUCUGCUAGAGCAGUACCAUCUGGGUCUGGAUCAAAAACUCAGAAAAUACGUGGUUGGAGAGCUCAUCUGGAAUUUUGCCGAUUUCAUGACUAACCAGUGUCAGCCCAAGACUACCCCGUCGGUCAUUCUGUUCCUGCCGUCCUGUGAGGAGCCCCAAGCCAACAAGGCCACACUGGUGUGUCUCAUGAAUAACUUUAUCCGGGAAUCUUGAUGGUGACCUGGAAGGCAGAUGGUACCCUCAUCACCCAGAGCGUGGAGAAGACCACGCCCUCCAAACAGAGCAACAACAAGUACGUGGCCAGCAGCUACCUGAGCCUGACGCCCGAGCAGUGGAGGUCCCGCAGAAGCUACAGCUGCCAGGUUAUGCAAGAAGGGAGCACCGUGGAGAAGUCAGUGGCCCCUGCAGAAUGUUCAUAGGUUCCAGCCCCCACCCCACCCACAGGGGCCUGGAGCUGCAGGAUCCCAGGGGAGGGGUCUCUCUCUGCAUCCCAAGCCAUUCAGCCCUUCUCGCUGUACCCAGUAAACCCUCAAUAAAUAUCUUUGUCAGCCAGAAA